Molecule: ribosomal RNA, 521 nt
Filed under: uncultured bacterium
Lineage: Bacteria
Description: bacterial SSU rRNA
Rfam family: Bacterial small subunit ribosomal RNA
Source: RNAcentral
AAUAGAUACCCCGGUAGUCCACGCCGUAAACGAUGAGUGCUAAGUGUUAGAGGGUUUCCGCCCUUUAGUGCUGCAGCUAACGCAUUAAGCACUCCGCCUGGGGAGUACGGUCGCAAGACUGAAACUCAAAGGAAUUGACGGGGGCCCGCACAAGCGGUGGAGCAUGUGGUUUAAUUCGAAGCAACGCGAAGAACCUUACCAGGUCUUGACAUCCUCUGACAACUCUAGAGAUAGAGCGUUCCCCUUCGGGGGACAGAGUGACAGGUGGUGCAUGGUUGUCGUCAGCUCGUGUCGUGAGAUGUUGGGUUAAGUCCCGCAACGAGCGCAACCCUUGAUCUUAGUUGCCAGCAUUUAGUUGGGCACUCUAAGGUGACUGCCGGUGACAAACCGGAGGAAGUGGGGAUGACGUCAAAUCAUCAUGCCCCUUAUGACCUGGGCUACACACGUGCUACAAUGGAUGGUACAAAGGGCUGCAAGACCGCGAGGUCAAGCCAAUCCCAUAAAACCAUUCUCAGUUCGGA